CCCCAGGUCAGGCGGGGCUACCCGCUGAGUUUA
RNAcentral lists this ribosomal RNA (33 nucleotides) under Morus alba (white mulberry). Its description in RNAcentral is "partial 28S ribosomal RNA". RNAcentral also lists the same sequence under 8 other names. The record is from RNAcentral. Lineage: Eukaryota; Viridiplantae; Streptophyta; Magnoliopsida; Rosales; Moraceae.